GGGUAUUCCUGCCCUGUGUUAAGAGGGCAGAUGGGUAUUCCUGCCCUGUGGUAAGAGGGCAGAUGUGUGUUCCUGCCUUGUGCUGAGAGGGUGGAUGUGUAUUCCUGCCCUGUGCUAGGAGGGUGGAUGUGUGUUCCUGCCCUGUAGGAGAGUGGAUGUGUAUCCCCACUCAGUGCAGCUGCCUUUGUGGUCCGUGAGGACCCCCUGGCUGCGGAAGGGGGGACGCCCCGGGCCCGCAAGGCUGCAGCCCCUGGAAGACGUUCCACGGGCGGAGAACAGUCGGGAGAGCCCGGCUAUAGACAGUCAGGAGGACCUGACUUUGGUUUUCUGGAACAAAGGAGAUGGAAUGCUCCUUUUACCUAGGCGGGAGUGGACGAGGAAUCCCACUCCGUCAGAGGUCGAGUUCGGCUGCCUAUUUAAAUAUAGGCACGGACAAGUGUGCUUGGUCGUUAAGACAAGAGGACACUCUGGAAUCCUGUUGGGAGGUGGAAUCAGAUGGUCCAUCUCAUCCCAAAAGCAGCUAAGGUUAAGCUGCAGUUUGGGCCACGUACUGAAGGUACCAGACAUCUGUGAAAGUUGGUUAUAAGAUGCUUUGUCUUGGUCUUGUUUGUCUGGCUUGUUUUCUGUGGUAUUGUCGAGUGUCUUUUUGGCUUUUGUUUCGUUUUUGAAUUUUGGACUGACGACUGUGUUCGAAUUUGGACUGACGACUGUGUUUAAAAUCUUGGACUGAUGACUGUGUUUGAAAUCAUGAAACUGUUUGCUUUGUUCGUCAAAGAGUUUUACUUGGUCCUCUUGGUGCUUAAGUUAAGAGUUAAAAAUAAUUUGCUUGAGAGAAAUUGUUUUCUGCC
This 848-nucleotide long non-coding RNA is filed under the name Rattus norvegicus (Norway rat). RNAcentral's name for it is "long non-coding RNA NONRATT014857". The record is from RNAcentral. Lineage: Eukaryota; Metazoa; Chordata; Mammalia; Rodentia; Muridae.